AUGUUGACGAACGUUACCAACCCUUUAUACGGUCAGGUCGAUGCGCUGUCAGAGGCACUGCAGGAGACACUGGUAAAAAUUCUGACGAACAGGAUGUCAGAAGCCCACGGCAUGCGGAAGUUUCCGGGCCACAGCAGUGACAACCCUGGAUUCAUAACCCGCUGCGCCACAACAGAACUCCAAAGUUCUCUUUACACCAUCCCAACUCUGGGGUUGUCUUGGGUGGAGGAAUGGGAGAUUGAUUGUGUAGAUUCAGCCUUACCGCUCUUUUCUAACAAACUGUGGAAGCCUCACAAAGACAAUUGUAUUUGAAAGUAAUUGAUUUCUUUUGUAAUUCAAAAUGUCUUAUUCUACACAUUAAAAUUCUUUAAUCUGAGAAGGGUAGGCAGGUUUCCGCAGAUCACCAAAAGAAUUCUUGGUAGAAGAAAGGCUAAAAAAGAGAGCACGAGGAGAAAAACAUUGGUGGGAUCAGGCCCCAGGCUCUGUGUGCAGCCUAAACACUGGUGGGGAAGAAAUGGGAAGGAAGAUUCAGAGGGAAAAACGAUGGGACAGGGAAGAGGAAGAGGAAAGGGGAAGAAAGAGAUGGAAUGAAAGGAGAAAUUUAUUCACUGGUUCCCAGUUAUAUGACAGCUUGUCUUUCUGGGCAACCUUUGUCUUUUAACGCAGCCUCUCACUCUUCUACCCAUCUGAUUCUGGGAAUUUUAGCAUUUUCUUCAAGUCUACUAACUCUACACAAUCUCCUCUACCAGGACCAUUUCUGGCCCCUUACAGAUGGCCUCUUACUAAUCCUUUCUCUUGUGGUCCUACGAGACUGUAGAGGAGGGAAAAUUUCACCUCUACCCUCCUGGGGUUGGUUUCUAGCUGGGCCUGAGAAUUAGAUUAACAUGAGGCAGAGUAACAGGAGGAAAACAUUCAGAUUUUCACGUGUUCACGGGAGCUUCAAUAGGAAAAUGAAAACCCAAAGAAGUGGUUAAGCUAAGUGUUUAUAUACUAGGUUGGUAAUGAGAAAUGAUUGUGAAAAAGUAAACUGUGGGAAGACUAAAGGAAGAUACAGGUUAUUUUAACAAGGUCUGUUUGUGUGGAUUUCUCUUGGCCUUUUCUUCUUGGCCUGUCUCUGGUGACAAGAAUAAUUGCACUUGCUGUUUUCUAAAUGCUUUUAGCUCAAAAUAAUUCUUAUACCAAAUUAGCCUACUUUGGGGUGGCAUAUAGUCAAAGUGUUGAAAUAACAAAGAACAAGAUACGCAGCGCAGAUCUCCUUGUGGUACCGUGGGAUCACCAUGCUGAAAGUAAACACAGCAGACUUUGUUGUAGCUGUUAAUAAAGUAAAAAAAAUCCUCA
RNAcentral lists this long non-coding RNA (1338 nucleotides) under Sus scrofa (pig). RNAcentral's name for it is "lncRNA (ENSSSCG00050073986.1)". Lineage: Eukaryota; Metazoa; Chordata; Mammalia; Artiodactyla; Suidae. The record is from RNAcentral.